RNAcentral lists this ribosomal RNA (233 nucleotides) under uncultured bacterium. RNAcentral describes it as "partial 16S ribosomal RNA". It matches the Rfam family "Bacterial small subunit ribosomal RNA", at positions 123 to 354 of the family's 1533-position model. The record is from RNAcentral.
AACCUGCCUUGGAGUGGGGAAGUAACAGUUGGAACAGCUGCUAAUACCGCAUAAUAUGUCUGUGUCGCAUGGCACUGGGCAUCAAAGAUUUAUCGCUCUGAGAUGGACUCGCGUCUGAUUAGCUAGUUGGCGGGGUAACGGCCCACCAAGGCGACGAUCAGUAGCCGGACUGAGAGGUUGGCCGGCCCACAUUGGGACUGAGACACGGCCCAGACUCCUACGGGAGGCAGCAG